This 385-nucleotide RNase P RNA is filed under the name Patescibacteria group bacterium. RNAcentral describes it as "RNase P RNA component class A". It matches the Rfam family "Bacterial RNase P class A". Rfam says of the family: Ribonuclease P (RNase P) is a ubiquitous endoribonuclease, found in archaea, bacteria and eukarya as well as chloroplasts and mitochondria. Its best characterised activity is the generation of mature 5'-ends of tRNAs by cleaving the 5'-leader elements of precursor-tRNAs. The record is from RNAcentral.
UGUUCAUUAUAGAUGAUCGUCCCGACUAAGUCGGGAAGGAAAGUCCGAACUCCCCAUAAACCGAUAAUGGUCUGUGGUCGUGGUAGUGGGUAACACCCACCAGCGUAUUGGCGACAAUACGUUCGGGACAGUGCCGCAGAGACAAUACUAUCCGCCUUGGGCGGAGAAAGGUGAAAAGUGAACGGGUGUUUUUGAUCUCGAGUCAAAAGCUACUGUUCUCGCUUCCUGGCAACAGGAAAAUGUGGUAAACCCUACCUGGAGAAAGUACAGUGUUUCCCGAUUUUAUCGGGAUUCAAAAAGUUAGUACGUUAGAUCCCAACAGUAAUGUUGGGACUAGAGAAAUGAUCGUCCUAGACAAAAUUCGGCUUAUAGUAAUGAACAAGAU